CUGGAACAAGGUGACAUUUUUGGCUUGGCAGAAACAGUGGACAACUCAUGUGAUCUUCAUUUGUGCCUGAUUAGUGAAGGAGCAGAAUGCAUUUUUAUUCCCAAAACUUUGUUUCUAGCAGAAGCCAGCACUGGAUAUAGAAGGGCUGCAUUAGAGCUGGUGGGAGCCUACCCCACAGAAGAGGCCAUCAGGGAGCACCUGGUCAAGCAACAAGUGUGGGAUGAGUACAAGGCCCAACUGUUGGCCGUACUGCGGAGGAAAGGAA
Talpa occidentalis (Iberian mole) is the source of this 265-nucleotide long non-coding RNA. RefSeq lists it as uncharacterized. The transcript has 3 exons. Lineage: Eukaryota; Metazoa; Chordata; Mammalia; Eulipotyphla; Talpidae. The record is from RefSeq and is a predicted model, not a curated record.